CCUACGGGAGGCAGCAGUGAGGAAUAUUGGUCAAUGGGCGGAAGCCUGAACCAGCCAAGUAGCGUGCAGGAUGACGGCCCUAUGGGUUGUAAACUGCUUUUAUACAGGAAUAAAGUUAGCCACGUGUGGUUAUUUGUAGGUACUGUAUGAAUAAGGACCGGCUAAUUCCGUGCCAGCAGCCGCGGUAAUACGGAAGGUCCAGGCGUUAUCCGGAUUUAUUGGGUUUAAAGGGAGCGUAGGCCGUCUGUUAAGCGUGUUGUGAAAUGUAGAUGCUCAACAUCUGAAUUGCAGCGCGAACUGGCAGACUUGAGUGUGCGCAACGUAGGCGGAAUUCGUGGUGUAGCGGUGAAAUGCUUAGAUAUCACGAAGAACUCCGAUUGCGAAGGCAGCUUACGGGAGCACAACUGACGCUGAAGCUCGAAAGUGCGGGUAUCGAACAGGAUUAGAUACCCCAGUAGUC
Molecule: ribosomal RNA, 460 nt
Filed under: uncultured bacterium
Lineage: Bacteria
Description: bacterial SSU rRNA
Rfam family: Bacterial small subunit ribosomal RNA
Source: RNAcentral